This 253-nucleotide ribosomal RNA is filed under the name uncultured bacterium. Its description in RNAcentral is "partial 16S ribosomal RNA". It matches the Rfam family "Bacterial small subunit ribosomal RNA", at positions 524 to 776 of the family's 1533-position model. The record is from RNAcentral.
UACGUAGGGUGCGAGCGUUAAUCGGCAUUACUGGGCGUAAAGCGUGCGCAGGCGGUUAUGCAAGACAGAAGUGAAAUCCCCGGGCUCAACCUGGGAACUGCCUUUGUGAAUGCAUGGCUAGAGUGCGGCAGAGGGGGAUGGAAUUCCGCGUGUAGCAGUGAAAUGCGUAGAUAUGCGGAGGAACACCGAUGGCGAAGGCAAUCCCCUGGGCCUGCACUGACGCUCAUGCACGAAAGCGUGGGGAGCAAACAGG